UCCUACGGGGGGCAGCAGUGAGGAAUAUUGGUCAAUGGCCGAGAGGCUGAACCAGCCAAGUCGCGUGAGGGAUGACGGCCCUACGGGUUGUAAACCUCUUUUGUCGGGGAGCAAGACCCGCCUCGUGCAGGCGGAGCGAGAGUACCCGAAGAAAAAGCAUCGGCUAACUCCGUGCCAGCAGCCGCGGUAAUACGGAGGAUGCGAGCGUUAUCCGGAUUUAUUGGGUUUAAAGGGUGCGCAGGCGGACCAUCAAGUCAGCGGUAAAAUCGUGUGGCCCAACCCCAUCCUGCCGUUGAAACCGGCGG
This 305-nucleotide ribosomal RNA is filed under the name uncultured bacterium. RNAcentral's name for it is "bacterial SSU rRNA". It matches the Rfam family "Bacterial small subunit ribosomal RNA", at positions 337 to 639 of the family's 1533-position model. The record is from RNAcentral.